Long non-coding RNA from Musa acuminata AAA Group (dessert banana), 2493 nucleotides. RefSeq lists it as uncharacterized. Lineage: Eukaryota; Viridiplantae; Streptophyta; Magnoliopsida; Zingiberales; Musaceae. The record is from RefSeq and is a predicted model, not a curated record. The transcript is spliced from 3 exons.
UCAUAGUUUAAUGCUUAUAAGAGUUAUUUGUUUCCUUUGAUAUUAGAUAUGAUAAUGUAGCAUCAAUUAUUAGAUAUGAUAAUGUAGAUUGAGUUGGAUCCGUAUAUUAAUUUUCAUAUGGCUGAAUCAAUUAUUGUAUCGUAUGGAGGUUAAAUACAUUUGAACGUGUUGGUGAACUCACGCAUCCUGGUCGAAGAUUCAGCAUCGCUUGGUCCCCAGGUCGAUGUCCGGAGUUUUCUAUGUUCAGGAGAGCGUCUCUCGAUCGAUUGGAUAAAAGCGUCGAGGUCGAGCUGGACUAGGGGUCGGGAUGGUCACAUUCGUGCACACAAGUCCUGGGUCGAGAGAUUCCCGACUUAGGUCCCUUGUAGAUUAAGUCAAUUGUUUUUCCUCUUUUUUCGUCUCAUAAUCAGAUGUCGAUCAGGGGCUUUUAUACUGUUGUCCGAGGAUCGGUCGUACGCAGAUUUAGCGUGGCGACCAAUCCCCCCGAGUGACGAGUUCAUACCUUCGUAUGACUAUCGCCUGGUAUACACGGAACGACGCCAUGCAGCGUCGUCCUGAGCUUUCCAGGAUGGGACUUGCCGAGAGGAUGCCUCCCUGUACGGGCUCCGGCUCGACGUGGGAGAAAGACAACCCUUGUGCUAAAUCUGCAGGGGUGUGACGUGACAUGGAUCACAACGUGGCCAAGAUUAGAAAUAUGCCUUAUUAUAACAUUACGUAUAUAUUUUUAUUAUUUAUAUAUCAAAUAACAAUCCUUAUGUUUUAUAUCUUAAUAUCUUUGUCGUCCACUAAAGGGGUAUUAUAUACUAAGCCUAAUCGGUAGGCUGUGCUAAGCCACUUGUCCCAUCACAAUCCAUCCCCAUCGUUGUGCCGCAGGAUUUCAUGUCCCGUCUACGUGUUCCCCAACGCAGUGCAACUCUACGGCCAGCAAUUCAAGAGAUCGCAAGCCAGACGCCGAUGUCACACGACAAAUAACUCUCCACCGCCGCACCAUCACAACCGACAACAAACAACGCAUCGGAUGUUCCCAAGAACCGUUACGAUGGUUGUUAUACUCGGUCUUGUUCAGUUGUAACGGCAGGCCAGCGGCAAAGCAGGCGAGGAGGGGAGAUGGCUUUUGAUGGGACGACGGUGGAGCGGGCGAUACGAGGAGCGAUUCAUUCUCCUUUCUCCUCCUCGAUUCAGGGUCUUGAAUCUUAUACUUCUCAAAAGAAAAAUCGUUUAACAAGCAAGAUCUACUCUUUUAGACAGCAUCGUGUGAUCAAAAUCUCCUUCAACUUCUGAGCAAGUUCCAGCUCGUGUUAUCAUCAACAAUUCAUUUAGCAUGGAAAGUUUACCUGAUUCUUUGUCAAAGUCUCCAUAUGUGAAGCUGAAAGUUGUUGAAGCACUAAGCACGGGACCGUUGGAGCUGGCUAAUUCAGUUCAGAAGCAGCAUGGUGAUCUUGAACAAGAGAUUGGUAGUUACAGAUAUAACAUAGGGCUAGAUCUUUGUACAAUGGAUUUAGAUUCCUCUGUGGAGAAAAGUUCAUCUAUGCCAUCUGUUUUCUCUGAUGAUAUUUCAAAAGAAGCUAUUAGCUUUCACCAACUUCAGGAUGUCAUAUGUCAGGUAUUGUGUUGAUCAAUAUAGUUUCAAUGUAACUUGCUUUUUGUAUCAUAUUAAAUCUUUCUUUAACAUUAAGAGUUCAACUCCUGCAGCCUCAUUAUAUGUGCAUGCUAUGUAUGAAAUGAAGCAACUUAUAUGGAUAUUUUCGUUUGUUUCUGUGAAGUCAGAGGUCACUUUCUUACUGACGGAUAAUCUUGUCGUGUGUGUACAUCAUAGACCUCUCUUUUUCUUGCUCCAAAUUCCACAUUCAUAAGUAGGUUCACCGCAGGAGGUUUUGAUCGCAGUUGAAUCUUAGAACAAAGCUCUGCAUAAGAGACACUUCACACCACUUGGCUAGGAGUGCAGAACCAAGAGGCAGAUUACUCACUGCAAACAGUGGAAAUGUAGAAUGUAGAAGAGUUCAUUGCACAGGAAAAUCAACAAAGCUUGUCGAAUAUAUGAACAUAGAGACCAAGACAAAUCCCAUCCAUCAGUUUGUAGCGCUCCUACCUACGGUAGAUCCUAGGAGGCUGCAGCUAGAUCUGAUGAUGAUGCUAUGUCACUCGAGUCUCAAGCGAUUGUAAGAAUUUCUCCUGGCAUUCAUCUUGCUACAUUAUUAGUUUUUUUCCUGUUCAUCUUGCUCGAGUCUCAAAAGUGUUUGGUUUUUUUCCUGCUAAAUACAUAUGAUUUUGUACGGAUGACAGUAUCGCAACUAGUCAGUGUGCAUGUUGUGGAAGCCUAAUGAUUUGGCAUCACAUGGAGUGGACUUCAUUUAGCUUCGGUUUAUACAGGUACCCGUAGGUCAUCAGGCUCAAGCACUGUAUGUAGAGUAGUAAAAGGUUAUCUGGUAGACCAUUAUGCUGUCAUUUUGGAAUACUUAUCCCUUUUUUAUUUACGAAAACACUUGAGCUGUC